CCUACGGGAGGCUGCAGUGAGGAAUAUUGGUCCAUGGACGCAAGUCUGAACCAGCCAUGCCGCGUGCAGGAAGACGGCUCUAUGAGUUGUAAACUGCUUUUGUACGAGGGUAAAGGCAGGUACGUGUAUCUGUCUGAAAGUCUCGUACGAAUAAGGAUCGGCUAACUCCGUGCCCGCAGCCGCGGUAAUAAGGAGGAUUCCAGCGUUAGCCGGAUUUAUUGGGUUUAAAGGGUGCGUAGGCGGUCGGAUAAGUUAGAGGUGAAAUCCCGAGGCUCAACUUCGGAAUUGCCUCUGAUACUGUUCGGCUAGAGAGUAGUGGCGGUAGGCGGAAUGUAUGGUGUAGCGGUGAAAUGCGUAGAGAUCAUACAGAACACCGAUUGCGAAGGCAGCUUACCAGGCUACUUCUGACGUUGAGGCACGAAAGCGUGGGGAGCAAACAGGAUUAGAUACCCUUGUAGUC
This 460-nucleotide ribosomal RNA is filed under the name uncultured bacterium. Its description in RNAcentral is "partial 16S ribosomal RNA". It matches the Rfam family "Bacterial small subunit ribosomal RNA", at positions 338 to 795 of the family's 1533-position model. The record is from RNAcentral.